GCACGUGACUGACGAGGAGAGGCUGAGGGAACUGGGCUUAUUUAGUCUGCAGAAGAGAAGAGUGAGGGGGGAUUUGAUAACUGCUUUCAACUACCUGAAAGGGGGUUCCAAAGAGGAUGGCUCUAGACUGUUCUCAGUGGUAGCAGAUGACAGAACAAGGAGUAAUGGUC
Long non-coding RNA from Chelonia mydas (Green sea turtle), 170 nucleotides. RefSeq lists it as uncharacterized. NCBI's taxonomy places the organism in Eukaryota, Metazoa, Chordata, Testudines, Cheloniidae. The transcript has 3 exons. The record is from RefSeq and is a predicted model, not a curated record.